Molecule: long non-coding RNA, 2665 nt
Filed under: Chloebia gouldiae (Gouldian finch)
Lineage: Eukaryota; Metazoa; Chordata; Aves; Passeriformes; Passeridae
Description: Erythrura gouldiae (Gouldian finch) lncRNA (ENSEGOG00005014618.1)
Source: RNAcentral
GUAGCAAGUCAGUGUUGUUUAUUUGUUUAAAGCCAAAUAUAAACAGGAAAGGAAUGAAAUCAUUACCAGCCUCCAGCUGUCCAGGAAAAUACCUGUUUAUAAAUAAAAACGGAGAAAGGAGAGAUGUCCCCAUCUUGCAACCUCAGCUGUCAGUGUCAGGGGCCCUGGGGCUAAGGGCUCCUCACCAUCCAUUCCUGGGCCAGCAGUUUUCCAUCCAAUGUGGAAUUUUGCCCAGCCCAGGCACUUCCAGAGAGAAGGAGGGAAGGAGGUGGGAAAUAAAUGCAGCACUGUGUCCCUGCUGGCAGUCCCCGUGUCCCCCAUGGGGAAGAGCCAGCAGGAGCUGGGAUAUCCCUGGAGAUGCCCAUAAGGGUCAGGACAGUAUCUGGAGCCAGCUCGUGUGCAGGUGGAGGUGGCCUGGAAAGGACCAGAGAUCCCAGGGACCCUUCUCCAGGCCAGAGCAGCCCUUCCUUCCUCUCAUCCUCCUGCUCCCACAGCUCUGCCUGGCCCCAGGCAGGCCUGGCUGGUCUGGAUGCUCCUGGGGCUUGGUUUUCCUGCAAAGAUUGGAGACAAACUCCCAUGGUUUGUCAGAGGCCUCACUGCCUGCCUUCGGCUGUGUCAGGGUGCUCUCAGUGUCCCUGUGUGUCAGGAUGGCUCCAAAAGGGUUGGAAGAGCUUCCCAAGAGGAGCCAGGAGGGCACCAGCAGCUCCUCAGCCUGGCCUGGAGCAGCAGCACACCCACACCUCGGCCUCCAAGGGUGGAGAGACUUCCCAGGGAUGCUGCUGCCCACAGCACUGCUGCCCAGGAAUGGCAUUGCUUGGGAGUGGCACUGCCUGGAACCCCUGGGUGCCAGCACCCAGUGGCAAAGCCUGGAACCAGCCCUGGCUUUUCCUCACCAUCCAGGCAGUGAGUACUCCUGGCUUCCAGCCCCUUCCCAGCCUCCUCUUCCCCCAUUCUGGAUUUUCUCCUUCACCCUCUGGAUCUGAAGAUGGCAGCACUGGGGCUGUUCUGUCCCCAGGACGGGUGGCCGGUGACAUGGAAAGGGGAGAGCAGGGCAAUGACUGCAGGGAAUUCAGCCCCUGCUCCCAAGGACUGUGGCACUGCACAGGAGAGACCUGGCCUGGCUUUGCACCUGGGGGAGAGAGGGGAGACAAUUCCAGCUUUCCAGAAAGCCACACAAGCCUUCCUGGGAGAGCUCCACACACAGGACAGGACAAAUCCCCAUGGACAGCAUCAGCAGCACCUUUAACACGGACACCACGGAUCCAGACAUCAGCCAGACACACACAAGGAGCUUUUGGAAUCCACUGCUGUCCCCCUGGGGAAAAGGUGACUGUGCCUGUGCUGCCAGGAGGAGAGGGGCACAGGCAAACCCCAAAUGUCACCCCACCAUCCCACAGUGCUGGGCCGUGGAUGUGCAGCCUGUGGGAACCCGGGUGCAUUCCAAGAGGCCGUUCCAGCAUGGACACAGAGCUAUCCUGGGGGGGGUUUCAGCUCUCCCUGGCCCCCCUGGAUGCUGGGCUGAGCCCCCCCACAGCAGCAGGUGCUCACAGGGCAAGUGGCACUGGAGGUAGUGGGGACACCUGUCCCAAACGGGAGACCAAGGGAACUCACCAUUCCCUUUGGGUUUGUGUCAAAUCCCAAAAUCUGACGUGGCCCCUGGGCUGAGGUUGAGUGGAAAACACACUGAAACAGCCCAGUCUUUCCAAAUUUGGCACCUCCAAGGCUGUGUUGGUGCUCUGGGUGACCCCAACACCCACAGCCCAGGUGUGGAUGUGGGCAGCACCCAGAGCAGGCAGAGCUGUCUGAGGUCACAGCUCCUCCAAAAACUCCUGCCAGAGGGGUGGGAAUUCAGUUCCAGGGCUGCCCCAAGUACCCAACCCUUCUGCACCCCAGGCCACACCAGCCUCUGGUGAGCAACAGCUCCCACACUUCCUCCUGGGCCAGGCUCCUCUCAGGGUGUGAGCACAGAGCGGCCCCAAAAGAGGCACAAAAGGGCCCUGCUGGCUGCUCUGGGACCCCUGAAGCACCCAGCACCUUUCCAGGUGGGCUGGCAAGCACUGGCCAUUCUCAGGGAAACCCUGGCUGCUUCCUAUGGCUCCUGUGGCUCUUUUAUGGCACGGCUGCAGCUCAGGCAGCUCCUGAUGCUGAGGGCUCCUGUGAGCUCUGCAAUUCCCUGGGUGCACUGGAGAGAGGCCCAGGUGGCAACAGAAGGGAGUACAAAAUCCCAGGAAUCCUGCUGACAGCUGGGAAUGGGGAACUCAGGACCUGCUCUGCCCCUUCUCAGCCACCCUGGGAGUCACCAGCCCCAUUCCCAACCUUGCAUCCCUGCCAGGAAACUUUUGGGAUCUGCUUUCACAAUGGGUUGGAAGGCUGGGGUCUACUCCAACCCUCAAGAACAAGAGAUGGAAUUUCAGAUUUUUUGCAUGAGGAUUCCCUACCCUGCUUCACAAUGGAAACUCCUCCUCCCUCCAAGUUCCUGUCAGGACAACCUGGGACAGUGAAAGUGUCCCUGCCCAUGGAACAAGAGGAGCUUUAAAGUCCUGUCCAGACCAAACCAUUCUGGGAUUCUUUAGUCAGAGUGCAUGGAGCAGAGCCCCCUCAGCAUUCCUCACUCUCUCCCCACAGGCUGCUCCUCCUGGAGCCCCAGAUCCCUCCAGACCACCAC